CUAUUAGUACUAUGAACUUUCUUCUUAGUAAUGCCUUCAAAGUGUCCCAUAAGUUUGGGAAAAGAUAAACAAUCAAUUGGAAGAAAUCAACAAACUCCUUAAGGAAAACUGAGAAAAAGCAAUCAAACAUGGGAAGGAAAUGACUCAAGGCAUAAAACCAGAAAUAGACGCAAUAAAGAAUACAUAAACUGAAGGAAUUCAGAAAAUGGAAAUCUGGGUAAACGAGCAGGAACUACAGAUACAAGAACAGACAACAGAAUACAAGUGUUGGAAAAUCA
This is a long non-coding RNA of Mesocricetus auratus (golden hamster), 278 nucleotides long. RefSeq lists it as uncharacterized. The record is from RefSeq and is a predicted model, not a curated record. The transcript is spliced from 2 exons. NCBI's taxonomy places the organism in Eukaryota, Metazoa, Chordata, Mammalia, Rodentia, Cricetidae.